This 648-nucleotide long non-coding RNA is filed under the name Malus domestica (apple). Its description in RNAcentral is "long non-coding RNA (MDOM_LNC012715)". The record is from RNAcentral. Lineage: Eukaryota; Viridiplantae; Streptophyta; Magnoliopsida; Rosales; Rosaceae.
GCUCCUAAAAGGCCUCGUGCUAGGUAGGGAUGAGAAUAUACAUUUAAGGAUCACUCCCCUAGGUGAUGUGGGAUGUUACAUGGGUACAUUUUUCAAAACCACAAAAUAAUAAUAAUUGAUAUCAGGCUUGAUAUCAAUAUUAAAUUUAUUCGAUUAAACUUGACAUGCGGAUAUUCUCAUAUCAAUUAUAUAGAAUCUACCCAUAUAAGUUUACAAAAUGAAUUACAAAAAAAAUUGAAUGCAUAUAACAAAUUGAUAUAUUUAAGAAUGAAUACAUUUAACACUAAAAAAUUUAUAUAAAAAAAAAUUAUAUGAAUGGGUACAUUUUAAAUUAAAAAAUUAAAAGUCUUUUCACAAAAAAGUUAAUGGGUAAAAACUUAAUCUAAUUUAUUUAUUUAUUUUGAAUUGAAAAUUAAUUAAGACUUUAAAAAGGGUGUGAGUAUUAAAACCUUAAAUCAAUUACUAGUCUUUAUAAUGUCUCAGCUAAUAAAUAUUAGUAACUAGAAACUGAAUACUAAUUUUUCCUUUUAAGUUCAACUCUUGAGUUCAGUAUUACAAAUGCCAACAUAGUUGUAUAAAGAAAAAAAAAAUCCCCCUCCCCCAAAUCAAGAAAGUGAUAGUAGUUGAAGGCCGUACACAAUUGAGUGG